GCAGUGGUGCAUCUGUGGUAGACUCCUCGCCUUCCACACAGGAGACCCGGGUUCGAUUCCCGGCCAGUGCA
This 71-nucleotide transfer RNA is filed under the name Loxodonta africana (African savanna elephant). It matches the Rfam family "tRNA". Rfam says of the family: Transfer RNA (tRNA) molecules are approximately 80 nucleotides in length. Their secondary structure includes four short double-helical elements and three loops (D, anti-codon, and T loops). The record is from Rfam by way of RNAcentral. Lineage: Eukaryota; Metazoa; Chordata; Mammalia; Proboscidea; Elephantidae.